RNAcentral lists this non-coding RNA (18 nucleotides) under Arabidopsis thaliana (thale cress). Lineage: Eukaryota; Viridiplantae; Streptophyta; Magnoliopsida; Brassicales; Brassicaceae. The record is from RNAcentral.
UGAAAGUGACUACAUCGG